Long non-coding RNA from Xiphophorus hellerii (green swordtail), 1517 nucleotides. RefSeq lists it as uncharacterized. The transcript has 2 exons. NCBI's taxonomy places the organism in Eukaryota, Metazoa, Chordata, Actinopteri, Cyprinodontiformes, Poeciliidae. The record is from RefSeq and is a predicted model, not a curated record.
UAAACACAGUGAAGUUAUUUUUUGCAUUUUUCUAUAUAUGAAAAAGAAAUCUGAAGCUCUUCCAGAGUUACAAAUGGCCUUUUGGCUCCAUCAGUUUGGUGGACGGACGUGAUUUGUGUGCAGUUGUUACCUGACGUCUGAAAGCAGCUGGUUGCUCUGGAUUUUGUUUAGUGGAAGCGGAGAAAAAAGGGGGUGGCAUACAGAUAACAAGCACAUAGAAGGGUCGUAACAUGAGAAAAUGUGUUGAGGUCCUAGAGGCAUGAGAUAGACUUUCAGACUGCAACCGAUUUUUUUCCUAUCCUUCCAGGAAGGAAAUACUAGAAACACAUUCACGUCCCGGUCCUGCCUUCAGACGUCGGAUCGGUUUUGCUUCACCUGACACGUGUGACGCCAAAGAGGCAUCGAGCUGCAGAUAAAAUCUACCUUUUCUUGCCACUAAAUGAGAACAUUACUUGUCACUUCCGUGGAGCUGCAUCCUUCGAGAUGAGCUGCGCGCUGGAGGAGAUGUUUCCCACCCACUCGGCAGUGUCGGAGGAUGAGAAGUCAUGCGGGCCGACAGAGAGAGGUGGAGGGCAGAGGAACGCGACGCUCCGCUGACAGCUGCAGCUCCUGCACCUCGACGAAGAAGUCCUGACGCUUCAGCACAUCAUUUAUUUGCUGCUAAUGAGCUGCCGUCAAAUUAGUGAUUACUGUCAGAAUUUAAUGAGUCUUAAUGAGUUAAUAGUCUUAGGAAAAAAAGUAUGUUAACACAAUUUGUUCCUUUGAGUGAUUUACUGUUCUGCGCAGCGGUUUUAACCCACCUUUAAUUUCUUAAUUAUUUUCUUCCAAGUAGAAGAACUUCCUCUUUAUCUUAAAAUGUUCUGCAGAUCUUUAGGGGCUCUGCAGACCAUUACAGGUUUUGCUCGGACUUCGGCUGCUGUAUUCUGUUCCUUUGGUACUUUGGUCAGGUUCAUCCCAAACGGUGAAUUUUAGUCUGCCUUUUCCACUCUAAACCCAGCUUUGAUGCGUGUUUGUCAUCAUGUUGGAACAUCUUGAUGGUGUGUCCAAGUUUCUGCCUCCUACUUGAUGAUUUGCAGGAAAAAUAAGGAACUUGGCGGCAUCUCUCCUUCAUUAUUCUAUUGACUUUGAGGUUUUUUUUGGGAGGGAAAAAACACACAGCAUGAUUCUACCAUAACCAUGCAUGUUGUUUGAAGUCCUCGUUUUGUCCCUACCCAACAUAUUUCUUAUCAUUGUGGUCAAACAGCUCAAUUUUUGUCUUGAUUGACCAUGAAAUAUUUUUGAAAAAGGCUACUCAACCCCCCAAAAAUAAAAGUGAAAACCGAAGUUGCUUCAGCCCACAGGUCCCAUCUAGAGGAAGUUUAAAUGAAAACAUUAAAAUUAUCGCUUGGUUAUCCCAACUGAUUCAUCCCAGCCGCCUUUCAAACACAUUUGGGUAGAUCUCUUUAUGUGGAUGUGGGAUCUUACUACUAAUCCACAAAACAAUUUAAGUUGCAUACCCAAUUCUAGUUUUUAAAAAA